RNAcentral lists this ribosomal RNA (259 nucleotides) under uncultured bacterium. Its description in RNAcentral is "partial 16S ribosomal RNA". It matches the Rfam family "Bacterial small subunit ribosomal RNA", at positions 93 to 353 of the family's 1533-position model. The record is from RNAcentral.
GAGUGGCGGACGGGUGAGUAAUGUCUGGGAAACUGCCUGAUGGAGGGGGAUAACUACUGGAAACGGUAGCUAAUACCGCAUAACGUCGCAAGACCAAAGAGGGGGACCCUCGGGCCUCUUGCCAUCGGAUGUGCCCAGAUGGGAUUAGCUUGUUGGUGGGGUAACGGCUCACCAAGGCGACGAUCCCUAGCUGGUCUGAGAGGAUGACCAGCCACACUGGAACUGAGACACGGUCCAGACUCCUACGGGAGGCAGCAUG